UACCCUUGUAAUCCCCCGAUAUAGGCGGGGGAGAAUCCACCGGCUGGCCUUAACCAGUUGUAACCAGGGGAA
RNAcentral lists this non-coding RNA (72 nucleotides) under Elusimicrobiota bacterium. RNAcentral's name for it is "Elusimicrobia bacterium 41-dG-II sequence". It matches the Rfam family "2dG-II purine riboswitch aptamer". From Rfam's summary of the family: Purine riboswitch variant that recognize 2'-deoxyguanosine The record is from RNAcentral. Lineage: Bacteria; Pseudomonadati; Elusimicrobiota.